Zootermopsis nevadensis is the source of this 73-nucleotide non-coding RNA. NCBI's taxonomy places the organism in Eukaryota, Metazoa, Arthropoda, Insecta, Blattodea, Termopsidae. The record is from Rfam.
UGCACGGUGGUCUAGCGGUUAGAACGCUGGCCUUGUAAUCCUGGGGUCUCGGGUUCGAUUCCCGGCGGUGCCC